CUGAGACACGGCCCAGACUCCUACGGGAGGCAGCAGUAGGGAAUCUUCGGCAAUGGACGGAAGUCUGACCGAGCAACGCCGCGUGAAGGAAGAAGUAUUUCGGUAUGUAAACUUCUAUCGACAGGGAAGAAAAAAAUGACGGUACCUGAAUAAGAAGCACCGGCUAAAUACGUGCCAGCAGCCGCGGUAAUA
This 192-nucleotide ribosomal RNA is filed under the name uncultured bacterium. RNAcentral describes it as "partial 16S ribosomal RNA". It matches the Rfam family "Bacterial small subunit ribosomal RNA", at positions 319 to 525 of the family's 1533-position model. The record is from RNAcentral.